Camelus ferus (Wild Bactrian camel) is the source of this 72-nucleotide transfer RNA. It matches the Rfam family "tRNA". From Rfam's summary of the family: Transfer RNA (tRNA) molecules are approximately 80 nucleotides in length. Their secondary structure includes four short double-helical elements and three loops (D, anti-codon, and T loops). Lineage: Eukaryota; Metazoa; Chordata; Mammalia; Artiodactyla; Camelidae. The record is from Rfam.
GGGGGUAUAGCUCAGUGGUAGACUGCAUGCUCAGCAUCCACCAGGUCCUGAGUUCAAUCCCCAGUACCUCCA